Molecule: ribosomal RNA, 495 nt
Filed under: uncultured bacterium
Lineage: Bacteria
Description: partial 16S ribosomal RNA
Rfam family: Bacterial small subunit ribosomal RNA
Source: RNAcentral
GACGAACGCUGGCGGCGUGCCUAAUACAUGCAAGUAGAACGCUGAAGGAGGAGCUUGCUCUUCUGGAUGAGUUGCGAACGGGUGAGUAACGCGUAGGUAACCUGCCUGGUAGCGGGGGAUAACUAUUGGAAACGAUAGCUAAUACCGCAUAAGAGUAGAUGUUGCAUGACAUUUGCUUAAAAGGCGCAAUUGCAUCACUACCAGAUGGACCUGCGUUGUAUUAGCUAGUUGGUGGGGUAACGGCUCACCAAGGCGACGAUACAUAGCCGACCUGAGAGGGUGAUCGGCCACACUGGGACUGAGACACGGCCCAGACUCCUACGGGAGGCAGCAGUAGGGAAUCUUCGGCAAUGGACGGAAGUCUGACCGAGCAACGCCGCGUGAGUGAAGAAGGUUGUCGGAUCGUAAAGCUCUGUUGUAAGAGAAGAACGAGUGUGAGAGUGGAAAGUUCACACUGUGACGGUAUCUUACCAGAAAGGGACGGCUAACUACGUG